This is a long non-coding RNA of Drosophila erecta, 506 nucleotides long. RefSeq lists it as uncharacterized. The record is from RefSeq and is a predicted model, not a curated record. The transcript has 3 exons. NCBI's taxonomy places the organism in Eukaryota, Metazoa, Arthropoda, Insecta, Diptera, Drosophilidae.
UAUAAAAGGGCGCGCAGUCGACGCGCUCAACACAGUUGAAAAGUGUGCGUUGAACAGAACAGUCGUAGGCAGUACGCCAAGAGAUCAGUAGCAACUACGUAGUGAAGUCGCAAACAUGUGCAAGGCUGUUAUAGAUUGUAAAGAAAGAAUGAAGGAUUGGAAGAGUGUGAAGAGACGCUGAGCAAACGGCCUUCGAAUCGAUAGUGGUGUGAGUCAUGGGCGCUGCCACCAGAGAUCCAUGCGAAAAGCCAUCAGGCAUUGGUCCCGGAGCACACUCGUUUCCUGCUCCUCGCACGUUAAUGGCAACGAUGAUGAGGAACGGAACACAAACAAGAAACUACGUCGCAGUGGGCCACUGAAUGCAUCCGUGUCCCGGUAGCAACAAUAGUUCGACUAUGGCUGGUACUGGUAAAGAAGAAUCCCGAACCCAAUCGUCGCAGUGACGAUGGCGUUGCGUUGUAGAGUUACUGAGUGAGUCUCAACGUCUGUCCGAGUCACCCCCACCU